Molecule: ribosomal RNA, 492 nt
Filed under: uncultured bacterium
Lineage: Bacteria
Description: partial 16S ribosomal RNA
Rfam family: Bacterial small subunit ribosomal RNA
Source: RNAcentral
AGUGAACGCUGGCGGUAGGCCUAACACAUGCAAGUCGAACGGCAGCACAGUAAGAGCUUGCUCUUACGGGUGGCGAGUGGCGGACGGGUGAGGAAUACAUCGGAAUCUACUUUUUCGUGGGGGAUAACGUAGGGAAACUUACGCUAAUACCGCAUACGACCUACGGGUGAAAGCAGGGGAUCUUCGGACCUUGCGCGAUUGAAUGAGCCGAUGUCGGAUUAGCUAGUUGGCGGGGUAAAGGCCCACCAAGGCGACGAUCCGUAGCUGGUCUGAGAGGAUGAUCGGCCGCACUGGAACGGAGACACGGUCCAGACUCCUACGGGAGGCAGCAGUGGGGAAUAUUGGACAAUGGGCGCAAGCCUGAUCCAGCCAUACCGCGUGGGUGAAGAAGGCCUUCGGGUUGUAAAGCCCUUUUGUUGGGAAAGAAAAGCAGCAGGUUAAUACCCCGCUGUUCUGACGGUACCCAAAGAAUAAGCACCGGCUAACUUCGUG